This is a long non-coding RNA of Syngnathoides biaculeatus (alligator pipefish), 877 nucleotides long. RefSeq lists it as uncharacterized. Lineage: Eukaryota; Metazoa; Chordata; Actinopteri; Syngnathiformes; Syngnathidae. The record is from RefSeq and is a predicted model, not a curated record. The transcript is spliced from 3 exons.
GCGCGACAGCAGAUGGACCAGGAGGGAGGAGAAUGCUAAAAGGACGGAGGAGGGAGCAGGAGGAGGGGGAAGAGGGAUGACGGACACGCAGGGGUGACGUGUUUCCUGACAAUCGAGCAAAGGCAUCUCUGGGAAUCAGACCACUUAUUUGUUUUCAAGAAAAGAGAUCACAAUAUUAUCUGCGGACAUCAUGGUCCAAGGGGAAUCCAGUCCCACCCCAUCUGUCAUCCUAUCCAUUACCACAGCAAACAGGAAGGUGCUCAGAGUGGAUCCCUGAUGCAGUCCCACCUCAACCUUAAAUUCUUCUGUCACACCUGUGGCACAGCUCACGACUGUUGUGCUGCCCUCAUACAUGUCCCCUACUAGCCUAACAUAUUUCUCCGCCACACCAGACCUGCGCAUGCAGUACAACAGUUCCUCUCUUGGUACUCUGUCAAAGGCUUUCUCUAGAUCCACAAAGACACAAAUAGCGCCCUCUGAACUUCUUUGUACUUUUCAAUUAGUAUCCUCAAGGCAAUUACACCAUGUAUAUGCAGUACUGUAAUACAUACUUGUACCUCGUGUCUCAUUGUCUGUUUCCAGUUUGUCGUAACUUGUUGUCACGUUCCAGCCGCCCAUGUUGCAUGUCGUUGGCACAUUGUAAGCUUAGACCAUGCCUCAUUUCGUUUUCUUUUUUUUUCCUUUUUUUUAUUUUUACAUGCUCUAUUACUUCUUUCUCUUUUUUUUUUGAUACUGUUGGCUUUUUGGACUGCCUACCACUGUAGCGACCUCUGCUAGUAAUAAAAAUUCUCUUCUCAAACUGCCCCGUUUGUGAAGUCGCACAUCUGGGUCCCAUCCCAUGUUCUGCCCUUGACGCAACCCAUUUCUGCUGUUUCUC